CCAAGUGACCUACCCAUGUCCAGGUUGAAGGUGCAGUAAAAUGCACUGGAGGACCGAACUCGUGUACGUUGAAAAGUGCUGAGAUGAGGUGUGGGUAGCGGUGAAAUUCCAAACGAACUUGGAGAUAGCUGGUUCUCUCCGAAAUAGCUUUAGGGCUAGCCUCGGAAUUAGGAUCGUGGAGGUAGAGCCACUGUUUGGACUAGGGGCCCAUCAAGGGUUACCGAAUUCAGAUAAACUCCGAAU
This 243-nucleotide ribosomal RNA is filed under the name Lactococcus sp. EKM101L. Its description in RNAcentral is "partial 23S ribosomal RNA". It matches the Rfam family "Bacterial large subunit ribosomal RNA", at positions 721 to 961 of the family's 2925-position model. The record is from RNAcentral. Lineage: Bacteria; Bacillati; Bacillota; Bacilli; Lactobacillales; Streptococcaceae.